UACGGGAGGCAGCAGUGGGGAAUAUUGCACAAUGGGCGAAAGCCUGAUGCAGCUAUGCCGCGUGUAUGAAGAAGGCCUUAGGGUUGUAAAGUACUUUCAUCGGGGAGGAAAAAAACAAAACUAAUAAUUUUAUUUCUUGACGUUACCCGAAAAAGAAGCACCGGCUAACUCCGUGCCAGCAGCCGCGGUAAUACGGAGGGUGCUAGCGUUAAUCAGAAUUACUGGGCGUAAAGAGCACGUAGGUGGUUUUUUUAAGUCAGAUGUGAAAUCCCUGGGCUUAACCUAGGAACUGCAUUUUGAAACUGAAAUACUAGAGUAUCGUAGAGGGAGGUAGAAUUCUAGGUGUAGCGGUGAAAUGCGUAGAUAUCUGGAGGAAUACCUGUGGCGAAAGCGGCCUCCUAAACGAAUACUGACACUGAGGGUGCGAAAGCGUGGGGAGCAAACAGGGAUUAGAUACC
Molecule: ribosomal RNA, 458 nt
Filed under: uncultured bacterium
Lineage: Bacteria
Description: bacterial SSU rRNA
Rfam family: Bacterial small subunit ribosomal RNA
Source: RNAcentral